AUUGAACGCUAGCGGGAUGCUUUACACAUGCAAGUCGAACGGCAGCGCGGACUUCGGUCUGGCGGCGAGUGGCGAACGGGAGAGUAAUGUAACGGAACGUGCCCAGUAGCGGGGGAUAACUACGCGAAAGCGUAGCUAAUACCGCAUACGCCCUACGGGGGAAAGCAGGGGAUCGUAAGACCUUGCACUAUUGGAGCGGCCGAUAUCGGAUUAGCUAGUUUGUGAGGUAACGGCUCACCAAGGCGACGAUCCGUAGCUGGUUUGAGAGGACGACCAGCCACACUGGGACUGAGACACGGCCCAGACUCCUACGGGAGGCAGCAGUGGGGAAUUUUGGACAAUGGGGGCAACCCUGAUCCAGCCAUCCCGCGUGUGCGAUGAAGGCCUUCGGGUUGUAAAGCACUUUUGGCAGGAAAGAAACGUCGCGGGCUAAUACCCCGUGGAACUGACGGUACCUGCAGAAUAAGCACCGGCUAACUACGUG
Molecule: ribosomal RNA, 484 nt
Filed under: uncultured bacterium
Lineage: Bacteria
Description: partial 16S ribosomal RNA
Rfam family: Bacterial small subunit ribosomal RNA
Source: RNAcentral